GUAUGUAUGUUAUGAUAGAAUCAGAAAACCUAAUCCUCAAUUUCUCACGCCGCCUCUGCCUCGCUCCCUCACUCUCUCAUCAGUUCACUCUAAGUCUCACACCCCAACCUAAAUCGCGUGACUGCGUCUCAGGUCUCAUCCUCUCCGUCUUUCUACCUCUUCCUUCAUCUGUUGCCGCCUCUCACCUUCUUCCUCUCACUGAGUAGCUGGUGUUGCUCCGUGCUUGCUUCUCAUAGCGUUGGCGCCGCCUGCACCCGCGUGCAUCGCGUUGCCGUCUGCACUCGCGUCGCCGUCUGCACUCCGUGUCGCCGUCUCUACUUCAUGAAGACGAACUGUUCCAGCCAUGCUUCUGUCAUCACCAGUAUCUUCAGAUCUGUUAUCACCAGCUAUGCGUCUGCCUCCAUCUUCUUCAGAUCUGCGAUCAUCAAUGGUCUUUUUGCGGAGGGAGAAAACAUUCAGUCAAGGCAGAAGAAUUCAGUCAAGGCAGAAGAAGGGGCAGUAGUUAGAAGUUGGCCGGUGACUCAAAGGUGAUCUUGCGGAAGGAAAAUGGAUUGGACAAGGCGGAAGAAGGGGCGGCAGUUGGAAGUUGGCGGGUGACUCUUCAAAAUGACUAAAACAUAAUCAAACCGAAAAGGAGAAGAUGGGAGAGGUGAAGGUGUUGAACAAGUACUUCCCAACUCUGUUGCAGUGCCCGACCUGAAGCAAACCCUGGAUGCUGAAAAAGUCGUGGAUACUCUGGGACCCCAUUGCAAGUGAGAUGGAGUGGUUGCUCUUUCAGGUGUUGUUGCUUUGGAAUGCAACUGUUUUGACUCUUUCAUUAGAGCUAAUACUCAUUCUAUUGUGUUUGCUACCCAGUAAAAGAGAUGCUUAGCAAUGUUGGUGUUGCUGCUUUAGUUAAGGCAAUAGCUCUGUAGCAAGAUGGUGAUGCCAAAAAGUUAAUAUUGGGUAACUACAUUUUCGCAAACCAAGCAUUUUUAUUUUCAGAUGUCGGAAAGAUUCUUCUCCUUUCACAAUUAGGUGAACUUCUUCAAUGGGCGGUUGUUGGUGAGCAUUUUUUCUCUUAGUACUUUAAGAGGUUAUGGUAGUUGUUUUUUGGUGUUAGCAGAAAAUGCUAAAAGAUCAAGAAAAAGAGUUGGGAAAAUGACAUGGUAAGUAUUUAUACAUUAAAAAAGAAUCUUAGCAUGUUAUAGUAACUCCAAUACUAAUAAUAAUAAUAAAAAAAGACUAAAAACAUGAAAUUUAAAGAAAUGUUUAAAUACAAUUCUUAAUCAAAACUAUGAAAUACUAUAUGCUAAUUAUCAAUAUAUAUAAUAAGUAACAUAGGCUAAAAUUAAAUGAGAUAUCUUGACUAGAAAAAAAUAGAAACAAUAUAAUUAAUAAUUUUAGUAUUUAUGAUAGGCAUUAUUUUACUUAUAAUUAAAAUAGCAAAUUAAAAUAUUAAAAUAUACUCAAAAUAUGGAUAAAUGAUGAUAUCUGCUCUUCUAACAUAGAAACAUAAAUAAGAAUUAAUUUUCUGUCAAUAACUCUAGAUAUUUUCUUCAAUUUUUUGUCUAAUUGUUUUUUCUUGUGUGUAAAUGGCGAUUGAUUUUUCCAUAGUCUUUCUUUUUUUACUUUGUGCUCAGAAAUUUUUAAUCAUAUAUUAUUCUUUCACUUUUUUUAAUUUUUUUUAGUAACACGCCCCACUACUAAAACUGUGUGAUAAAGAUAUUCUUCUAUCUCUUUUUCUGUAAUAGGACUCUUAUAUAUAGAAUCUUACAUUAUACAAAUACAGAAAAAAAUUAGAUAAAAAUACAGAAAUUUAUAUAGAAUAAAAUUAGUAUAGUGAAAAUAGAGAAAGAAACUUAUAUAAAUAUAAAUUUAUACUCGCAACGGGUUGUUUUUCAACAGUUUUCCAUAUAUCAGACACCUCUUCACAAUUUUCCACCUUAAACUCAGCCUGCAUAAAUAUAUAUAAGGAUAUAUAAGUUAAGUUAUGUUAUAACAUAUUUUUUAGGUAAAAAAAUAUUAUUUUAUUGCAAUAAUUGAAAAUUAUUAAACGAAACAAUGUAUAAUUAAAUGGAUAUCUUUCUAUUGAUUGUAUCACAUUGUUUUUGUGCUGUAAACUUGUACAUGUUUUUUUACGUCACCUAUCUUAAAACAUUAUAAUGUAUUGUGUAAUAAUUUGGUCAUCAAUUCGAUCAACUCUUAUUCUUUGCAAACUUUUUUCGUCGUUUUUCUAUUAGGUUAUUCUUCAAACAGUUGUCUAACAAAUCUUAUGAAAGAAUAAUAUUUUUAUCAUUGGAUUUGUCAAUUAUGUUGUACUUAGUUUAUAUGGUGGUGAAAUAAUAUUUCUAUGUUUUUAUAGAAACUAGGUACAGCAUAAUUGACAAAUCUAACUGUAGUGAAAAUUUUAUUAUUUUAUCACAAAAUUUGUUGAAUAAUUAUUUGAGGAAUGACCAGGAUUGUUAUACAGCAAUAUUUUGUAAUGUUUAAAGAUAGGUAAUUACAAAUGAAUGUUUAAAGGAGAACAAGUACAAAUUUAUAUAGCACAAAGACAAUGUAACACAAUCAAUAGAAAUGUAUCUAUUUACUUAAAUAUUAUUAGUUUAAUAAUUUUUAUUUAUCGUAAUAAAAUAAUAUUUUUUUAUUUAUAAAAUGUUAUAACAUAGCUUAAUUUAUAUGUCUUUAUAUAUAUUUGUGCAGGAUGAGUUUAAGGUGAAAAUUGUGAAGAGGUGUUCGAUAUAUGAGAAACUGUUGAAAAACAACCGUGAUUGCAAAUAUUUUAUUAAUGCGUGCAUUUAAAAAAUUAAAAUUUGAGAGUAUAAAUUUACAUUUAUAUAAAUUUUUUUUAUUUUUACAAUGUUAAUUUUAUUCUAUAUAAAUUUUAAUAUUAUUUAUUUAAUUUUUUCUGUAUUAUUACAAUGUAGGAUUUUAUAUAUAAGGGUCUUAUUACAGAAAAAGAGAUAGAAGAAUAUCGUUAUCAUACAUUUUAGUAGUGGGACGUGAUUACCAGAAAAAUUAAAAGAGAAAUAGAAGUGAAAAAAUACUAUAUAAUUAAAAACGUAUGGGAACAAAAUGGAGAAAGAAUAGCUAUGGAAAAAUCAAUCGUAAAUCAUUUAUAUACAAGAAAAAAUAAAAAAUAGAAAAUAGAAGACAAUAUCUAUUGAGCUAUUGACUGAAGAAUAAAUUCCUAUUAAUGUUUCUAUUGAUCGAAAAUUGUAUAUCAUUUACAUACAAGAAAAAACUAAGAGCAUGUAUCUUCAUCAUUUAUCCAUAUUUUGGGUGUAUCUUAGUAUUUUAAUUUGUUAUUUUAAUUAUGAGUAAGUUACAUCCUAUCAUAAGUCAUCAAAAUUAUUAAUGAUAUUGUUUUUUUGUUAAGAUAUCUCAUUGGAACAGUUUUUUCAUAGUUUUGAUAAAGAAUUGUAUUUAAACAGUUGUUUCCUAUAUUUCAUGUGGUUAGUCUAUUUUUUUCUAUGAUUAUUUAUAUUAGGGUUAAUGUAAUGUGCUGAGAUUUUUUUUAAUGUAUUUAUCCAGCAAUCUGGUAAACUGGUACAUCCAGGAAGCUAGUACAAUCUUAGGCCUUAGUUGUGGGAUCUGAGUUUAGGUUCAUGUUCUUUUGUGUUUGUGGUCUUUUUCACGAAGGAAAACUCUGAUGCUGUUAUAUAAUUUUAAUACUCAUGAAAUAGUGCAAUGUGUAUUAGCACAAUAAAUAAGCAUUGUUUUCAGAAUUUACUGAAAUUAUAUUUAUUUAGAGGUUUAGGUUCUGAAUUCUUAUGUUAAAAUAUUUGCAUUGCUGUAGUUAGAAAAAUUAAGUUGUCUUGAAUAUAUUAAAGCCAUUCUAUCUUUUACUUGCUUUUUUAAUAAUUUUGGAUUUGUGAAUGGUGGUUUUGGGCUGUUUUAAUUUUUUUUUUUAAAUAUCAAAUGACAAAUAGUAGAGUUCUGUGUUGUUUUAAUAAAAUAUCCAGAAAUAGAACAU
Molecule: long non-coding RNA, 3955 nt
Organism: Arachis stenosperma
Lineage: Eukaryota; Viridiplantae; Streptophyta; Magnoliopsida; Fabales; Fabaceae
Exons: 6
Source: RefSeq, a predicted model, not a curated record